AAUCAACGCUGGCGGCGUGCCUCAGACAUGCAAGUCGAACGCGAAAGUCCCCGUUCGGGGGCAAGUAGAGUGGCGCACGGGUGAGUAACACGUAGGUAAUCUACCUUUGGAUGGGGAAUAACAACCGGAAACGGUUAGCUAAUACCGCAUAAUGCAGCGGCACCUAAUGGUGACAGUUGUUAAAGCGGGGAUCGAAAGACCUCGCGUCUGAACGAGGAGCCUGCGGCGGAUUUAGCUAGUUGGAAGGUAACGGCUUACCAAGGCGACGAUCCGUAGCCGGCCUGAGAGGGCGGUCGGCCACACUGACACUGACAUACGGGUCAGACUCCUACGGGAGGCA
This 340-nucleotide ribosomal RNA is filed under the name uncultured bacterium. RNAcentral's name for it is "bacterial SSU rRNA". It matches the Rfam family "Bacterial small subunit ribosomal RNA", at positions 32 to 350 of the family's 1533-position model. The record is from RNAcentral.